UACAGAGGUCUCAAGCGUUGUUCGGAUUCAUUGGGCGUAAAGGGUGCGUAGGCGGCGCGGUAAGUCGGAUGUGAAAUCUCGGAGCUUAACUCCGAAGCUGCAUUCGAUACUGCCGUGCUUGAGGACUGGAGAGGAGACUGGAAUUUACGGUGUAGCGGUGAAAUGCGUAGAUAUCGUAAGGAAGACCAGUGGCGAAGGCGGGUCUCUGGACAGUUCCUGACGCUGAGGCACGAAGGCCAGGGGAGCAAACGGG
This 253-nucleotide ribosomal RNA is filed under the name uncultured bacterium. Its description in RNAcentral is "partial 16S ribosomal RNA". It matches the Rfam family "Bacterial small subunit ribosomal RNA", at positions 524 to 776 of the family's 1533-position model. The record is from RNAcentral.